AGAGAUUGGGAGUUUGAGAGGCGCGAGUUUGAGAGAGGUCGAAUGAGUGUGGGUAAGGUUGAGGGAGCGAGAGUGAGUCUUUCGUGAAGAAGACGAACGUUUUGUGUUGUUUUCACGUGUCUCUAUCUCAGUUUUCUUUUAUUUAUUUUUAAGAAACAAUAUUUAAAACUUAAUUAAAGACCACUUACCCUUUGGUUUCCCUUGGCAUUUCCUUUAAUUUUUGGUAUGCUGGUAUUAGUGUUCAUUAAUGUAUGGUUA
RNAcentral lists this long non-coding RNA (258 nucleotides) under Lathyrus oleraceus (garden pea). Its description in RNAcentral is "Pisum sativum (pea) long non-coding RNA (PSAT_LNC014371)". The record is from RNAcentral. Lineage: Eukaryota; Viridiplantae; Streptophyta; Magnoliopsida; Fabales; Fabaceae.